GAUGAAGAACGUAGCAAAAUGCGAUACUUGGUGUGAAUUGCAGAAUCCCGUGAACCAUCGAGUUUUUGAACGCAAGUUGCGCCCGAAGCCUUUUGGCCGAGGGCACGUCUGCCUGGGCGUCACGCAUCGCGUCGCCCCCCCACAAUUCUCCGUAAAGGGAACAUGUGUUUUGGGGGCGGAUAUUGGUCUCCCGUGCUCAUGGCGUGGUUGGCCGAAAUAGGAGUCCUUUCGAUGGACGCACGAACUAGUGGUGGUCGUAAAAACCCUCGUCUUUUGUUUCGUGCUGUUGCUCGCAAGGUAAACUCUUUAAAAUCCCCAAUGCGUCGUCUCUUGACGACGCUUCGACCGCGACCCCAGGUCAGGCGGGACUACCCGCUGAGUUUAAGCAUAUCAAUAAGCGGAGGA
This 405-nucleotide unclassified non-coding RNA is filed under the name soil metagenome. Its description in RNAcentral is "partial contains 5.8S ribosomal RNA, internal transcribed spacer 2, and large subunit ribosomal RNA". The stretch from base 1 to 122 matches the Rfam family "5.8S ribosomal RNA", at positions 35 to 154 of the family's 154-position model. The record is from RNAcentral.